RNAcentral lists this microRNA (21 nucleotides) under Lotus japonicus. RNAcentral describes it as "lja-miR11097a-5p". Lineage: Eukaryota; Viridiplantae; Streptophyta; Magnoliopsida; Fabales; Fabaceae. The record is from miRBase by way of RNAcentral.
AUUUUGAUGCACCGACGGUGU